RNAcentral lists this ribosomal RNA (560 nucleotides) under uncultured bacterium. Its description in RNAcentral is "bacterial SSU rRNA". It matches the Rfam family "Bacterial small subunit ribosomal RNA", at positions 338 to 916 of the family's 1533-position model. The record is from RNAcentral.
CCUACGGGAGGCAGCAGUGGGGAAUCUUGCGCAAUGGGCGAAAGCCUGACGCAGCCAUGCCGCGUGAAUGAUGAAGGUCUUAGGAUUGUAAAAUUCUUUCACCGGGGACGAUAAUGACGGUACCCGGAGAAGAAGCCCCGGCUAACUUCGUGCCAGCAGCCGCGGUAAUACGAAGGGGGCUAGCGUUGCUCGGAAUUACUGGGCGUAAAGGGAGCGUAGGCGGACAUUUAAGUCAGGGGUGAAAUCCCGGGGCUCAACCUCGGAAUUGCCUUUGAUACUGGGUGUCUUGAGUAUGAGAGAGGUGUGUGGAACUCCGAGUGUAGAGGUGAAAUUCGUAGAUAUUCGGAAGAACACCAGUGGCGAAGGCGACACACUGGCUCAUUACUGACGCUGAGGCUCGAAAGCGUGGGGAGCAAACAGGAUUAGAUACCCUGGUAGUCCACGCCGUAAACGACGAUUGCUAGUUGUCGGGAUGCAUGCAUUUCGGUGACGCAGCUAACGCAUUAAGCAAUCCGCCUGGGGAGUACGGUCGCAAGAUUAAAACUCAAAGGAAUUGACGG